GACGAACGCUGGCGGCGUGCUUAACACAUGCAAGUCGAGCGGUAAGGCCCUUUCGGGGGUACACGAGCGGCGAACGGGUGAGUAACACGUGGGUGACCUGCCCUCAGCUCUGGGAUAAGGCCUGGGGAAACCCGGGUCUAAUACCGGAUAUGACUCCAUGACGCAUGUUGUGGGGUGGAAAGCCUUGUGCGGCUGAGGAUGGGCCCGCGGCCUAUCAGCUUGUUGGUGGGGUGAUGGCCUACCAAGGCGACGACGGGUAGCCGGCCUGAGAGGGCGACCGGCCACACUGGGACUGAGACACGGCCCAGACUCCUACGGGAGGCAGCAGUGGGGAAUCUUGCGCAAUGGGCGAAAGCCUGACGCAGCGACGCCGCGUGAGGGAUGACGGCCUGGU
This 394-nucleotide ribosomal RNA is filed under the name uncultured bacterium. Its description in RNAcentral is "bacterial SSU rRNA". It matches the Rfam family "Bacterial small subunit ribosomal RNA", at positions 28 to 420 of the family's 1533-position model. The record is from RNAcentral.